This 1576-nucleotide ribosomal RNA is filed under the name Lactiplantibacillus plantarum. RNAcentral's name for it is "Lactobacillus plantarum 16S ribosomal RNA". It matches the Rfam family "Bacterial small subunit ribosomal RNA". Lineage: Bacteria; Bacillati; Bacillota; Bacilli; Lactobacillales; Lactobacillaceae. The record is from RNAcentral.
UUAAUUUGAGAGUUUGAUCCUGGCUCAGGACGAACGCUGGCGGCGUGCCUAAUACAUGCAAGUCGAACGAACUCUGGUAUUGAUUGGUGCUUGCAUCAUGAUUUACAUUUGAGUGAGUGGCGAACUGGUGAGUAACACGUGGGAAACCUGCCUAGAAGCGGGGGAUAACACCUGGAAACAGAUGCUAAUACCGCAUAACAACUUGGACCGCAUGGUCCGAGUUUGAAAGAUGGCUUCGGCUAUCACUUUUGGAUGGUCCCGCGGCGUAUUAGCUAGAUGGUGAGGUAACGGCUCACCAUGGCAAUGAUACGUAGCCGACCUGAGAGGGUAAUCGGCCACAUUGGGACUGAGACACGGCCCAAACUCCUACGGGAGGCAGCAGUAGGGAAUCUUCCACAAUGGACGAAAGUCUGAUGGAGCAACGCCGCGUGAGUGAAGAAGGGUUUCGGCUCGUAAAACUCUGUUGUUAAAGAAGAACAUAUCUGAGAGUAACUGUUCAGGUAUUGACGGUAUUUAACCAGAAAGCCACGGCUAACUACGUGCCAGCAGCCGCGGUAAUACGUAGGUGGCAAGCGUUGUCCGGAUUUAUUGGGCGUAAAGCGAGCGCAGGCGGUUUUUUAAGUCUGAUGUGAAAGCCUUCGGCUCAACCGAAGAAGUGCAUCGGAAACUGGGAAACUUGAGUGCAGAAGAGGACAGUGGAACUCCAUGUGUAGCGGUGAAAUGCGUAGAUAUAUGGAAGAACACCAGUGGCGAAGGCGGCUGUCUGGUCUGUAACUGACGCUGAGGCUCGAAAGUAUGGGUAGCAAACAGGAUUAGAUACCCUGGUAGUCCAUACCGUAAACGAUGAAUGCUAAGUGUUGGAGGGUUUCCGCCCUUCAGUGCUGCAGCUAACGCAUUAAGCAUUCCGCCUGGGGAGUACGGCCGCAAGGCUGAAACUCAAAGGAAUUGACGGGGGCCCGCACAAGCGGUGGAGCAUGUGGUUUAAUUCGAAGCUACGCGAAGAACCUUACCAGGUCUUGACAUACUAUGCAAAUCUAAGAGAUUAGACGUUCCCUUCGGGGACAUGGAUACAGGUGGUGCAUGGUUGUCGUCAGCUCGUGUCGUGAGAUGUUGGGUUAAGUCCCGCAACGAGCGCAACCCUUAUUAUCAGUUGCCAGCAUUAAGUUGGGCACUCUGGUGAGACUGCCGGUGACAAACCGGAGGAAGGUGGGGAUGACGUCAAAUCAUCAUGCCCCUUAUGACCUGGGCUACACACGUGCUACAAUGGAUGGUACAACGAGUUGCGAACUCGCGAGAGUAAGCUAAUCUCUUAAAGCCAUUCUCAGUUCGGAUUGUAGGCUGCAACUCGCCUACAUGAAGUCGGAAUCGCUAGUAAUCGCGGAUCAGCAUGCCGCGGUGAAUACGUUCCCGGGCCUUGUACACACCGCCCGUCACACCAUGAGAGUUUGUAACACCCAAAGUCGGUGGGGUAACCUUUUAGGAACCAGCCGCCUAAGGUGGGACAGAUGAUUAGGGUGAAGUCGUAACAAGGUAGCCGUAGGAGAACCUGCGGCUGGAUCACCUCCUUUCUAAGGAA